RNAcentral lists this ribosomal RNA (253 nucleotides) under uncultured bacterium. RNAcentral's name for it is "partial 16S ribosomal RNA". It matches the Rfam family "Bacterial small subunit ribosomal RNA", at positions 524 to 776 of the family's 1533-position model. The record is from RNAcentral.
GACGAACCGAGCGAACGUUAUUCGGAAUCACUGGGCUUAAAGGGCGCGUAGGCGGGCCGCCAAGUCAGGGGUGAAAGCCCCCAGCUCAACUGGGGAAGUGCCUUUGAUACUGGCGGUCUCGAGGGGGAUAGGGGCGUGCGGAACUUCCGGUGGAGCGGUGAAAUGCGCAGAUAUCAGGAGGAACACCGGUGGCGAAGGCGGAUCUCUGGGCCAUUACUGACGCUGAGGAGCGAAAGCCAGGGGAGCAAACGGG